RNAcentral lists this ribosomal RNA (331 nucleotides) under uncultured bacterium. RNAcentral describes it as "bacterial SSU rRNA". It matches the Rfam family "Bacterial small subunit ribosomal RNA", at positions 338 to 665 of the family's 1533-position model. The record is from RNAcentral.
CCUACGGGAGGCAGCAGUAAGGAAUAUUGGUCAAUGGAGGCAACUCUGAACCAGCCAUGCCGCGUGCAGGAAGACUGCCCCUAUGGGUUGUAAACUGCUUUUAUCCGGGAAUAAACCUACUUACGUGUAAGUAGCUGAAUGUACCGGAAGAAUAAGGAUCGGCUAACUCCGUGCCAGCAGCCGCGGUAAUACGGAGGAUCCAAGCGUUAUCCGGAUUUAUUGGGUUUAAAGGGUGCGUAGGCGGCCUGUUAAGUCAGGGGUGAAAGACGGUAGCUCAACUAUCGCAGUGCCCUUGAUACUGAUGGGCUUGAAUGGACUAGAGGUAGGCGGA